AUGAGCUUUCGAAAAUGUAAGGAGCCAUGUACCAGGUACAUCACGGCGGGGGACACUCAUGACAGGUGCGUAGUAUGUCUUGGUUUACAUCACGCACAGGCGGCGCUUAGCGGCCUUUCUUCCUGUCCCCAUUGUGAUGGCCUGCGGCUCAGAGUGCUGCGCUCCAGGGUGGAAGUUUUCUCUAAUGUCGCCCUCGAGUCUAACCCCCGUCAGGUCACCUCUGCGACUGCCGAGGCACCGCACGAGGCGAGGGCCUGGGGUGACACGUGCGACAUGGAUUUUGUGGACAGCGCAGCGCUGGAAUAUUCUCCACAUCGCUCGCUCUCCCCUACCCUGCUGCAGAAUAAAACUUAUACUGAGCCCGUCGUCUUCUCUAAUGAGGAUUUACUUCCCACACCGGAGGCAUGCACCGCCAUCUCCUUCGGUUGUGGACGCUAUGACGACGAUGUUUUAUCCACCGCGGCCUCGGGGUCUGAGGACUUCGCGACCGACACUAGCCCUCUUCCUCCUAGCGGACAGGAGAGGCGUGUUUCCCCCUCCUACAGUGAGCUGUUGGAUGUGGUUUCUCGUGCGGUGGGUAAAUUGGGGCUAGACUGGGAGGUUGACAAGGCCGAGGCCCAACCUUCUUCCAAGCUGGACGACCGUUUUUUAACCAGUCGGACACCUACACAGCCCCGGAGGCCUUUGCCUUUUUUCCCGGACCUCCACCAGGAGGUUUCGAGGUCCUGGAAACAGCCAUUUUCGGCGCGGAUUACUAACGCCGCGGCCGCGGAUUUCGCCACCGUUUCUGAUAUGGCGAACCAUGGCUAUACUAUGAUGCCCCCGGUGGAAGAGACUCUCGCCGAACACCUUGCGCCUAGUUCGGCCGCGGCUUGGAAGUCUCGCCCCCUUCUUCCUUCGAAGGCGUGUCGAGUCACGUCUAGUUUGGUGGGUAAAUCCUACAUGGCGGCUGGUCAGGCGGCUGCGUCGCUCCACUCUAUGGCGGUCCUUCAGGCCUACCAGGCGGAGUUAUUGAAGGAAUUGGAUGAAGGUGAGGGCAUCACACCGGAGGCAGUUAAAGAACUGCGUAGAGCUACGGAUUUGGCGCUACGCGCUACCAAACAUACCGCUCGUGCAGUGGGCCGUACUAUGGCCGGUUUGAUUUCGGUUGAGCGCCACCUCUGGCUUAAUCUCACCGAUAUUAAGGAGAAGGAUAAAUCUUUCCUUAUGGAUGCCCCUGUCUCCAGGGAUGGAUUGUUCGGUGAGGCUGUCACGUCAGUAGUGGAGAAGUUCAGGGCAGCGAAACAGCAAUCAGCCGCUUUCCGCCAGCUGAUUCCCCGCAGACCCAGGGAGGUCGAACGCCGGCAAGCGCCCGCGCGUUCUCGCUCAACCUCCUCUCACCGCCAGCGAGCAGCCUCUCGAGAGGAACCUACACCCAUGGCGCCUCCUCGUAAGGACUGGGGCCCUAGGGUUUUUCCUCCGGCGCACCAGCGUCAACGUAAGCGUUUGAACCUGACCUCGACGGCUAAAGCCUCUCGUUCUCGGGUGCCGAAUAGCAGCUCCUGA
This is a long non-coding RNA of Carassius auratus (goldfish), 1545 nucleotides long. Lineage: Eukaryota; Metazoa; Chordata; Actinopteri; Cypriniformes; Cyprinidae. The record is from Ensembl.